RNAcentral lists this ribosomal RNA (497 nucleotides) under uncultured bacterium. RNAcentral describes it as "partial 16S ribosomal RNA". It matches the Rfam family "Bacterial small subunit ribosomal RNA", at positions 28 to 507 of the family's 1533-position model. The record is from RNAcentral.
GAUGAACGCUGGCGGCGUGCCUAAUACAUGCAAGUCGAGCGAACAGACGAGGAGCUUGCUCCUCUGACGUUAGCGGCGGACGGGUGAGUAACACGUGGAUCACCUACCUAUAAGACUGGGAUAACUUCGGGAAACCGGAGCUAAUACCGGAUAACAUGUUGAACCGCAUGGUUCAACAGUGAAAGACGGUUUUGCUGUCACUUAUAGAUGGAUCCGCGUCGCAUUAGCUAGUUGGUAAGGUAACGGCUUACCAAGGCAACGAUGCGUAGCCGACCGGAGGGGGGGAUCGGCCACACUGGAAGUGAGCCACGGUCCAGACUCCUACGGGAGGCAGCAGUAUGGAAUGUGCCGCAAUGGGCGAAAGCCUUACGGAGCAACGCCGCGUGAGUGAAGAAGGUCUUCGGAUCGUAAAACUCUGUUACGAGGGAAGAACAAAUGUGUAAGGAAAUAAGCACGACGUGACGGUACCUAAUCAGAAAGCCACGGCUAACUACGUG